UAGUUUUUUUAGAAAUAAAUUUAAUUUACAAAUUUUUAAUUUUUAAUUUAUUUUUUAAAUUUAAAAAUUUAUUAAUUUGAAUAUUUUAAGGGAUAAGCUUUAAAAUAAAGUAUUAAAAACUAUUGGAUAAUUGGUUUAAAAUGUAUGCAUAGAAUUAGCAAUCAUUUAUAAGUUUGUUAUAAAUUAUUUUAUAAUUUUUAUUAUUUAAUUUUGUUUUCAUUGAAUUUAUAAAAAUUUUUUUUUUAAUUUUAGAUAAAAAGUAAUAAUGAUCAAAUUAGUAUAUUUUAAUGUUGUUAAAAUAUUUUAUAAUGAGAAGUUUAUAUAAAGAACUCGGCAAAUUUUAUUUAUACUCGCCUGUUUAACAAAAACAUGUCUUUUUGAAUUGUAUUUAAAGUCUGACCUGCCCACUGAAUAAUUUUAAAUGGCCGCAGUAUUUUGACUGUGCAAAGGUAGCAUAAUCAUUAGUCUUUUAAUUGAAGGCUGGUAUGAACGGUUGGACGAAGUAUAAACUGUUUCAUAUUAAUUUAUAAUAGAAUUUUAUAUUUUAGUUAAAAAGCUAAAAUUUUUUUAAAAGACGAGAAGACCCUAUAAAUCUUUAUAGUUAAUUUUAACUAAAUUUUUUUGAUUUAUUUUAUUUUUUUAAUAUUAAUUAUUUUGUUGGGGUGAUAUUAAAAUUUAAUGAACUUUUAAUUUUUUUAAAAUCAUUAAUUUAUGAAUUAUUGAUCCAUUAAUAAUGAUUAUAAGAUUAAGUUACUUUAGGGAUAACAGCGUAAUUUUUUUUGAGAGUUCAUAUCGACAAAAAAGUUUGCGACCUCGAUGUUGGAUUAAGGUAUAAUUUUGGGUGUAGCCGUUCAAAAGUUAAGUCUGUUCGACUUUUA
RNAcentral lists this ribosomal RNA (878 nucleotides) under Anastrepha barbiellinii. RNAcentral describes it as "partial 16S ribosomal RNA". The record is from RNAcentral. Lineage: Eukaryota; Metazoa; Arthropoda; Insecta; Diptera; Tephritidae.